GAUGAACGCUGGCGGCGUGCCUAAUACAUGCAAGUCGAGCGAACGGACGAGAAGCUUGCUUCUCUGAUGUUAGCGGCGGACGGGUGAGUAACACGUGGAUAACCUACCUAUAAGACUGGGAUAACUUCGGGAAACCGGAGCUAAUACCGGAUAAUAUUUUGAACCGCAUGGUUCAAAAGUGAAAGACGGUCUUGCUGUCACUUAUAGAUGGAUCCGCGCUGCAUUAGCUAGUUGGUAAGGUAACGGCUUACCAAGGCAACGAUGCAUAGCCGACCUGAGAGGGUGAUCGGCCACACUGGAACUGAGACACGGUCCAGACUCCUACGGGAGGCAGCAGUAGGGAAUCUUCCGCAAUGGGCGAAAGCCUGACGGAGCAACGCCGCGUGAGUGAUGAAGGUCUUCGGAUCGUAAAACUCUGUUAUUAGGGAAGAACAUAUGUGUAAGUAACUGUGCACAUCUUAACGGUACCUAAUCAGAAAGCCACGGCUAACCACGUG
This 497-nucleotide ribosomal RNA is filed under the name uncultured bacterium. RNAcentral describes it as "partial 16S ribosomal RNA". It matches the Rfam family "Bacterial small subunit ribosomal RNA", at positions 28 to 507 of the family's 1533-position model. The record is from RNAcentral.